UAUGGCAAACCCCAGGUGAGGGGUUGAAUUGGAGCUGCAGCUGCAGGCCUAUGCCACCGUCAUGGCAACAAGAGAUCUGAGCCUUGUCUAUACUGCUUGUGGCAAUGCCAGACCUUAACCCACUGAGCAAGGCCAGGGGUCAAACCUGCAUCCUCAGAGAAUACCUGCUGAGCCACAAUGGGAACUCCACCUUUGGGUUAUCUCUUGAGAAGCUACCUGAAGCCGCUGUAGCCUUUUUGUAAGGCUGGAAAGAAUAACAGACAUGCUGAGGAUGGCACACAAGAGAGACUUUUGAACCAACCCUGUACCACCCUACAUCUAUAAAAGAAUUCUCGAUUGGUAACAUAAUAAAUCUCCUUAUUGUAUAAGCCACUUUUAGUUGGGUCUUCUGUUUCUUGCAGCUGAAACCGAUACACUCACUUCUUUAUUUCCAAUCUCCUUAUAUAUAAACAUGAUCUUCUUAUCGAGCCUACCUAGUCUGCAAUCUUAGAUAAGAGUGAAAAAGCACAUCGGCACUGUUUCCUUUGAAAAAGAAAUUGGUCACAGGUGUAAGCAUUACCUCAACCACAUAAUAAUAAUGACAGCAGCUUACAAAUAUUGAGCACUUUCGAUGAAUAAAAAAGACAUUGUGCUACGAACUUAUCUUCACAACAAACCUCUAAAUCAGGGAAUAACAUUAUCGCUAUUUUUAAAAUGCAGAAAAUGUGGCAGAGAGAUAAUAAGUAACCCACAGCUAAGAAGUGAAUAAAUUGAAGGGCUGACGGGAAUCAGCUAGUUGUUAUGAUGCUAUCUCAAUGCAUGUGUGUAUUUAAGAUUUGGGGUAUAUAUGGACUUACGGCAGCAUGUAGGAAUAAAAUGAACAGACUUGCAUAUCACCUUGGUGUUGUCUAAACAUCACUUAUAGCUCUGUACACAGACUGCACUAAAGUUUUGCAGGCAUAGGAGUGGAGGUAUAUAGCAUUAUAGGAAUUACAUAUAGUAUGCAUAUGUAAUUCAAAGAGGAAUAUUUAAGUGAUAUCUAGCAAUACUGAUAUUUCUCCACAUUAAGAAAAAUUUACAUGUCCACCAAUAGUUUCAAAAUAAUAGACACACCACUGAACCACAAUUAGAAAAACAUGCCAUAUUUUCCUGAACAUGCUCUAUAUCCCUUUUAAAUUAAAAAAAUAUUGCAGUGAAUUGGAAAGCAGACCAUUGAGUCCAAGUUUACCAUUUCAAAAAUUACUUAUUUCUUGACUUUGACACUCUGAUUCUCAAAGUAUAAAGUGUGACUUUCUUCUGAACAGACCAUAAUUCAAGAUCUACAGUGAAUAAAAUUCGGCCAUAAAAUUGUCAAAACUGAUUUUUCUUAAAUAAUUUAAUCAGUUACUAACUCAAUAGACAUAAUGCUUCAGACUAACUAAAGUUUUACAUAUUAUUUUAUUAUAUAAUCAUUCAAUAUAUAAGAAAUGAUAUAUAUCAAUAAAAAUACUUGAUAUAUAAAAAUCAUGAAGCAUGAAAAUAAAAGUCAUGAACCCUCCAGCCAGCUCUGGAAGUAGAAUAUCACCCACAACAUUGAGGCUGUAUCUAUUGCUUUCUUCUAAAGCUCAAGCCCCUGCUGAUCCCAAAAGGUAACCAACAUCUUGAAUGCUCAAUUUAUUGUUCCUUUGCUUUUUCAAAUAGUUUAUGUCAUAAAUUUAUCUAUUUCUAGAUUUUGAAGUAUAUGACAUUAUGUGGUUUGCAUUUGCUUUUCUCACUCAAGACCAUGUUUCUUAGAUUCAUUAUGUUGCACGUAGCUAAAAAUCCAUUCAUCUUCCUGGCUACAUAAUAUUCCACUGAGGGCCUGUAGAACAACUUUUUAAAAUUUAGUCACUUAUCAAAGAAUGUUUUAGUUUUUUUACCAGUUUUUUGUUUUUGUUUUUGUCUUUUUUUUUGCCAUUUCUUGGGCCGCUCUCGUGGCAUAUGGAGGUUCCCAGGCUAGGGGUCCAAUCGGAGCUGUAGCCACCAGCCUACGCCAGAGCCACAGCAACGCGGGAUCCGAGCCGCGUCUGCAACCUACAUCACAGCUCACGGCAACGCCGGAUCGUUAACCCACUGAGCAAGGGCAGGGACCGAACCCGCAACCUCAUGGUUCCUAGUCGGAUUCGUUAACCACUGCGCCACGACGGGAACUCCUCCAAGUUUUUUUACCAGUUUUUAAAAUUGCUAUUAGUAAUGUGUUAAUGGUAUGCUCAAAUUAUCUCUAUUUAUAAAUAUCUUUCUUCUCAAUCUAUCUUUUCUUCUCAAAAAUUGAAAGAGGUUAACUGGAAGUCUGUCCCUAUGAUUGGGGAUUUGUCACUUUGUACUUGUUUCAGUAAUUUUUACUGUAUAUAUUUUAAAGGUGUUUAAUUAGGUACACAUUAUUUAAUUAUUUAAUGUUUCUGGUGAUUUUUCAUCAUUAUGUAUUUGACCACUUUAUUCCUAAUUAGCUACUUUAUUCAUUAAAGUCUUUAAUAAAAGUACAGUAAAUUUUUAAAAAUUAAUAUUUGCCUAUAUUUUUCAACUUUUUUAUGUCCUUAGGUUUCAAUGGUGGCCAUUUAGAACAGGGACUCCAAAAAUCUCUCUAGUUGAGGUUUAGUCCAUGUCUUAAAUGAGCUUCCCUAGAAAAUGGACCUUGAGGCAAAAGCUUAUGUGCUAUGACUUUCUUGGCGGUACAAUCCCAAAAAAGCAGGAGUGAAGGAAAAACUAAAGCUAAUAAGGAUUAUAUUUCUGUGCUGGUCAUAGCUUUGCAUCACAAUUGGUUAUUACCUGUUGCAGGGUACCUCAGAAGGGCUAUAUGUAACUACUGCAACUUGGAUGAGUCCACUGGAAGAAUGAAAUUCAAUUUAUUUGCAAGAUCCUUCCGUUUUCUAUCUGCCUCACACACUAUUAACCCCCCAAUUUCUGGACUGUGUUAGUUGUCCCCUCCAGAUAUAUGCAGGGGAAGCCAAAAGCCUCCAGGCAGCCAAUGUCUUUAUGUCAGUUGGUGCAAUGUGUGGAGCUUCUCAAUUCAUGGGGAGGGAGGUGGCAGUGUUCCGGGCUUCGUGAUCAUGGAAAGGGUGAGUUUUGCUAGAGCCUCUCUCCCUCUACCCCAUCCCUAGAGAGGGAAGUGGCUGAGGUCUGGAGAGGUAGGUGGUUUCAAGCAGAUCUCGAGUAAAACCGAGUCAGUAUUCUCCAUUCCUGGCAUCACCUGUAUCAGCGUUCAGUCAAUCUCAUCUGAAUACAAGUGCCCACAAUUUUUCUAUGAAAGCUGAGGUGUAAGUGCAAUCUGUUUAGCAGGUAGUGAAUUGUAAGAAACUGAAAAACUUAGUUUAGCAAAUUAUAGUUAUAGUCCACACUGCUGUAGCUGGUCCACUACUAUAAUCAAAGGAUUUAAGGAAUAAAGAGUGCAAAGAGUAACAGAAAUGCAGAGAGAAAGAAGAUAGCAUUCUGCUAGACUUAGACUAUUUAAAACUUUUGUAAGGAUUCAGAAAUUAUAUCAUCUGUAGUUUUUUCUUAUUUUUCAUCCCCCCUCCCACUAACCAGAUGUCAAACAUUUUUCACUUAUUAUGGAAUUUGAUCUUUUUAAUAUUUACCUCUUUAAAUGCUUUAAUAAUGAAAAAUACAUUUUAAACUCUUCCCAAAUGCAGUGAGAAUGGAUUUGUUGUGUAAUUUGUAAAACUGAUUCUACUUACAAGUGGUCCAUCCAUACAGCAAAAUGUCAAUUAGAUAAUGAAGUUUUUCACAAUUCUGCAUGAAUCUCUGAAGGUUCUGUGAAGUUUAGCCACUGUUAGAAAUGUAAAACAAAGCAGCAAGCUGAUUGUUCUAGACCCUAUAGAGUGUGUGUGUGUGUAUAUAUAUAUAUAUAUAAUAUAUAUAUACAUACAUAUAUUAAAUAUAUAUUUUAUACAACAAUUACUUAGAAAUGUUAACCAAAAGUUUUCUAGGUACAACAUGAUGGGAUAUAACUCAAUAUUGGAAGAGAGAAAAGAGGGAUAAAUACAUUUUUUUUUAAUUAGCGGAAUGGGGAGGGACACAGCAUUUUAUGAUGAGAAGAUACUCCACACAUCUGUGGAAAUCUUCAAACUUUGGAAGGAACAGAGAAAGAGGGAAAUAAGGGAUGGGGACAAAAGUAGUAAAACCAUUGGAGAAUUUUGUAAACAUCUCCUCUCCU
RNAcentral lists this long non-coding RNA (4147 nucleotides) under Sus scrofa (pig). RNAcentral describes it as "lncRNA (ENSSSCG00000055872.1)". Lineage: Eukaryota; Metazoa; Chordata; Mammalia; Artiodactyla; Suidae. The record is from RNAcentral.